AGAGAAGGUAAGAACAGAGACAUCCUCAAAUCCAACAUUUAGUGGUUCAGCGCCUGCUGAUUCCAUAAAAACGGCAACAACUCCUGUUUCCUGAGCACUUGUUACAUGCCCAGCACCAUCCCAGCUAUGGCACCAGUUCUUAAUGCAACCUUCAUUUUAUGGACGAGGAAACAGGCUGAGACAGGAGAAGCCACCCAGCAAGGAGGAGGCAAAGUCAGGAUCUAAACUGAUGCCCUUGAUCCCUGGGUUCUUCCUGGACAAACUGGGGGGGGGACACCCCAUCCCCAGGGCCAUAAAGACAGGUCUCAACUCUGAUUCCUGCCUUCCUGGGAUUCAGGAGGGCCGAGGCAGGAGACAGCUGGGACGUGAUGUGGCUCCCAGACGGAUGAGAAGCAUGAUUGAAUCUUCACGGCGCUAAUAACCGUGCCGGCACGUGGAGCAGGUCUGGAAGAUGGAUGGUGUCUCGGGCUCCCCUGCCACGCCCAGCCCUGUCUCCGACCUUCCUCGGGGAAUGUGGCCCCAGCUAGGAGGCUGCUUCUGGCUCCCGUGCCAUCUCCAGAGAAGGCAUGCCAGGACCAAGCAGUCUCCCCACUGUGCAGUGGGGGAAACCGAGUCUAGGCUAAAUGGGAAGGGCUUUAUCUGAGGACAAGCACCAGCGCCAUCAUCGCCAUAGCCCAGCAGUCUGCCUAGGGUGUGGCAUUUAAGUAAACCAUGGUGAUGAGAAAAAUCGAGUGAUAACGAAGACCUUGACCGUAAACUCCUAUGUGAUCAUCAGGCAACCUUGGGAUGCUGACACUGGUCCCAUUGGCCAAAUGUGCAAGCUGAGACUCAGCCCCCGUAAGUAAGCUGCCCAGGGACACAAGAUUGCAAGAAGUGGAGACUAAAUUUAAGCCCAAGUCCUGCUGAGACCAGACCCUUGCAUUUUCAUUUCCCACAUGUGCUGCCCCUCUCCUAGGGGUUUGAUCUCUAGUGAUUUCCUUGACCUUGAACUCUCUGUGCUAAAAAUGGAGCUCAGAGUGUGCCUGGUGAGAUGAAAACAGUCACCCUCUGUAUCCAUGAGUUCUGCAUCUGUGGAAUCAACCAACCUUGGAUCACCAGUUUUUGGGGAAAAAAAAAUCCAGAAAGUUCCAAAAAACAAAACUUGAAUGUUCCCCGUGCAGGCAACUAUUUACAUAGCAUUUACAUGGUAUUGCCAGUGACUUUCAUAGCAUGCAUAUGGAAUUAGGGAUUACAAGAGAUCCAGAGAUGAUGAAAGUGUUUGGGAGGGUGUCCACAGGUUAUAUGCAAAUACUAUACCGUUUUAUAUCAGGGACUUGAGCAUCUGGGGAUUUUGGUAUCCGCCAGGAGGUUCUGGAACUGACAGCCUGUGGAUACAGAAGGCUGGCUGUAUUUCUAGUUAAAAAUAAUAAUGUGUACAUUGACCCCUUCCUGAGCACUCAUUCUGAGCCUGGCAGCAUUAUUGUGAUCUGAGUCUCAGUCUCAUCGCCCCAAGUUGCAGAUGAGGAAACUGAGGCAGCCCCAUCCUGCCUCCCAGAGAAGCCUGCCCCUGCUUCUUGCUGCCUUCAUUUCAGUUUGGCUCCUUGCAUGCCUGGGCAGAUCCAGGCUUGGGGCCUCCUGGGGGAGAUCAGACUGACGCGUUCUCAAGGGGCCUCUCUCCCCACAGCCCGUCAUGGUUCCAGAAGCCAGCAGCCAGAUGUUUGGUGUCUGUGGAGCAGGCCCCAGCUGUGGCCCUGGACUUUGAGGGCCCCCUUGGCUGACCCCGUGGGGCUGGGAGGGAUGAUCUCUGUGACGGGGUUCAGCCCGAGGUCGGGAGUCGGAUGGGAAAGCGCUUGUGCAGGGCUGUGGGUUUGUAGGAACCUUCUGAAUCCUUCUCCCAGGGCUGGGAAAAUCCCAUGGUCCCCUGUUUUUCAGCCUCCCGACAAAACCCACACAUAUGGGGCUCACCAUGAGGCUGGCUUCUUUGGGCCAAGAGGAGGCCCCAGCUGGCCGGCUGUGUGACCAGGGAAGGUCACUCACCCUCUCUGAGCCUCCAUCAUCUUGUCUGCAAGGAGGGGUCAGGUCAGCUGGGUAGUGUCUCCCACAGCUUGUCCGGCCUGAGGGACCUGGACACCAGCUCAGGGGGACAAUGGGCCCCUUACUCAGUCUUCCCCAGACGCCCCCAGCCUGUAGCCCUGAGAAAGGCAUUUCCUCUCCCUGCACCACUGUGUCUGCACCUGUAAAACGGGUUUGCUUAUAGUUCCGGCCGUGGGGUUACCCAAGCUCUCAGAGGGACCUUGGCUCAUGGUCCACCCUGAAUGCAUGGAAAUGCAGCCUGAUAGGACAACCUGCCUGGUGACGGCAUUCAAUAGGGGCGGCCAGGUGUGAGGCGAGUCCAGGUAUGCCAGCUGCCAGCCAGGUAGAUGCCAUUUCUCCUCUGGAGCGGGGCUGGAACAACUCCAGGAUUCCUUCAGGCUGUGGAAACGUGGCAGAAGAGCGAGACCUCCCCAGACCUCCUGGCUCACCCCCCUCCUCCACUUCCUUUUCUUUUCCUCAGCUCCCCCUCCCCACAGGAGGGCCCAGACCCCUGAGGAAAGGGGACGGGGGGACAUCAGGAGUUUCCUGGUCUUGAGGGUGGGCUGCCCGAUGUGAAUGUGGGAGCCUCAGUGCCCCUCUCAACCCCACACAGAGGCUGCCCUGGUUGCCUUGGUCCAGGCUCAGGGGAGAGGACGGUGAGGGGCGGCCCCUUUCCCCUUCCACAUACCCUGGCAUAACCGGCAGAGCUCCUCGCCACGCGGUCCUGACCCACCUGUACCGCAGCUUCCCCGUGGGGGGUCAGCGAAGUUCAUGGUAGGCCUUAGAUCUGUCCCUUCAUCUCGCUGAGCCUCGGUUUUUGGCUUCCCACCUGAGAAAUGGGGGUAGUGACAUUUGCCUUUGGGGAGGGGGCUGCCGCCAGGAGUGAAUGAGACCAAGUUGAUUUAGGGACAUUCCCAGGGAUCCUGGGCCUCGGGGGCGGGGGCAGAGCUAUGGCUGGCAUGGGGGAUGGUCCCCAGGGGUGGCGGCAGUGCUGAGAGGGACACUGCGGGGGCUGUCAAGCUAUGAGGUGACAGCCCUUUCGUCUCUAAAGCCUUCUCCUGAAGCCUCUAAAUAGCUCUCCUAUUGAAGCCAACUUUAAAUCUCUCAAAGCCAGGGCCUCUCCUGGUCCUAAAGACUAAAGAACAAGCACCACAACACAGCCCUGGUCCCCACGGUCGUGAGGUGGCGGGUGGCUCUCAGAGCCCGCUGGCUCUCUCCUCCUGGGGGAGGGAUGGUGAAUGGCAUCUCUUGGCUUCUUUGUGAUAUUUGGAUGGUGAUGGUAUUGACUCGUCAGCCCUCCAAAUUGAGGGCUGGUGCCUAGGAUUUUAAAUUAGCCACUGUCAGACUUCACUCUGCCCAGUAGAGUGGGUUAAAAUUCAGAUUCAGAUUGGGCAGACCCGAUUUGCAGGGCCCGAUGCAAAAGGACCAUGUGGGGUCCUUGUUCAAAAAUUGUUUAAAAGAGGUGUUCUGCCGCAGCUCAGGGGAAACGAAUCUGACGAGCAUCCAUAAGGACUCAGGUUCAAUCCCUGGCCUUGCUCAGUGGCCUAAGGAUCUGGCGUUGCAGUGAGCUGUGGUGUAGGUCACAGACGAGGCUCAGAUCUGGCAUUGCUGUGACUGUGAUGUAGGCCGGUGGCUAUAGCUCCGAUUUGACCCCUAGCCUGGGACCCUCCAUAUGCCUGGGAUGUGGACCUAAAAAAAAAAAAAAAAAAAAAAAAG
RNAcentral lists this long non-coding RNA (3768 nucleotides) under Sus scrofa (pig). RNAcentral's name for it is "lncRNA (ENSSSCG00060056963.1)". The record is from RNAcentral. Lineage: Eukaryota; Metazoa; Chordata; Mammalia; Artiodactyla; Suidae.